Molecule: ribosomal RNA, 518 nt
Filed under: uncultured Scutellospora
Lineage: Eukaryota; Fungi; Glomeromycota; Glomeromycetes; Diversisporales; Gigasporaceae
Description: SSU rRNA
Rfam family: Eukaryotic small subunit ribosomal RNA
Source: RNAcentral
AGCAGCCGCGGUAAUUCCAGCUCCAAUAGCGUAUAUUAAAGUUGUUGCAGUUAAAAAGCUCGUAGUUGAAUUUCGGGGUUCUACCGUUGGUCAGGCUAUUGUCUGUACUGGCGUGUAGAAUUUCUACCUUCUGGGGAACUAUCAUGUUAUUAAUUUAGCGUGGUAGAAAACCAAGACCUUUACCUUGAAAAAAUUAGAGUGUUCAAAGCAGGCUUAUGUCUGAAUACAUUAGCAUGGAAUAAUAAAAUAGGACGGUGGUCCUGUUUUGUUGGUUUCUGAAUCACCGUAAUGAUUAAUAGGGAUAGUUGGGGGCAUUAGCAUUCAAUUGUCAGAGGUGAAAUUCUUGGAUUUAUUGAAGACUAACUACUGCGAAAGCAUUUGCCAAGGAUGUUUUCAUUAAUCAAGAACGAAAGUUAGGGGAUCGAAGACGAUCAGAUACCGUCGUAGUCUUAACCAUAAACUAUGCCGACUAGGGAUCGGACGAUGUUAACUUUUCUUGACUCGUUCGGCGCCUUACG